This 497-nucleotide ribosomal RNA is filed under the name uncultured bacterium. RNAcentral describes it as "partial 16S ribosomal RNA". It matches the Rfam family "Bacterial small subunit ribosomal RNA", at positions 28 to 507 of the family's 1533-position model. The record is from RNAcentral.
GAUGAACGCUGGCGGCGUGCCUAAUACAUGCAAGUCGAGCGAACAGACGAGGAGCUUGCUCCUUUGACGUUAGCGGCGGACGGGUGAGUAACGCGUGGGUAACCUACCUAUAAGACUGGGAUAACUUCGGGAAACCGGAGCUAAUACCGGAUAAUAUUUCGAACCGCAUGGUUCGAUAGUGAAAGAUGGCUUUGCUAUCACUUAUAGAUGGACCUGCGCCGUAUUAGCUAGUUGGUAAGGUAACGGCUUACCAAGGCAACGAUACGUAGCCGACCUGAGAGGGUGAUCGGCCACACUGGAACUGAGACACGGUCCAGACUCCUACGGGAGGCAGCAGUAGGGAAUCUUCCGCAAUGGGCGAAAGCCUGACGGAGCAACGCCGCGUGAGUGAUGAAGGUCUUCGGAUCGUAAAACUCUGUUAUUAGGGAAGAAUAAACGUGUAAGUAACUGUGCACGUCUUGACGGUACCUAAUCAGAAAGCCACGGCUAACUACGUG